Long non-coding RNA from Lagopus leucura (white-tailed ptarmigan), 1567 nucleotides. RefSeq lists it as uncharacterized. NCBI's taxonomy places the organism in Eukaryota, Metazoa, Chordata, Aves, Galliformes, Phasianidae. The transcript is spliced from 2 exons. The record is from RefSeq and is a predicted model, not a curated record.
AUGGGCUGCCCAGGGAGCUGGUUGUGUCACCAUCCCUGGAGGUGGUGUGUAAUGUGGUACUAAGGGACAUGGUUUAACUAUUGGUAGUAGGUGUAUGGUUGGACUGGACGGUCUUGGUGGUCUUUUCCAACCUUGGUGAGUCUGUCAUUCUAUUCUAUGAUUCUUGGGUUUAAAAUCAAAGCAAGAAAUGAUCUACUUUUAACGUUCAAACUGAAUCAAGUUUCCAUUAAAGAUACAGCUUUAUGAAAGAAUUAUGAAUUUCUCAGUGCAAAGAAAAUACAAAUUGUUCAUUUUCAGAACAGAUCACAAUUGUAGUCCUCAACAUGUGCUUUUUUCAGCUUCAUGCUGCAGCAAUGCCAGUUUCACCUGUACAGCACCAGUCAUGUACCUUCCUAGCUGGGACCUAACACCUCUUACAGCCAUGAGAACCCCACCUCCACUGCAGUGUCACUCUUCUUCAUAAUGCAUACUAUCUGUUAAUGACACAAUCUGUUCCAUAGCAGUUAAAGUCUGUUCAGAAUUACAUGGCAGGGCUCACAGAGUCUACACAUUGACAUAGAGACUCAAAAGCCAUGGAUGCAGCCAAGCUUUUUGGGAAUGAAUUGGAAGCUCUCAGCCCUCUUGUAUGCCAAACCAUCUUAAAGAACUGAAGCAGGGCUGCCUGCAAGAUUCUUAGUGACAUGUGGAAACAUAUCAGCUUGUGCUGCUUAAAGGAGAGGGUCUGAGGAGCUAGCCUCUGAGAGAGGGUAAGGGCUUAGGAAUAACAAUUCAAUACGUGAAGAUUCAACCAGUUGAGCAAGUUGAAUGAAGGCAAGAAUACACAGCUGCUUUUAUCAAAUGUGUCUGUGUCUUUUCCUCCUCAUGAUAUGACCAAGAUAUAUGUAUGUGUCAUGGAGGGUAGCAUGCAGGAAGUGCUUUUCCCCCCCACUCUAGAUCAUUCUUGUUUUUGCACACUACCAUAAAUGCUGCUUUUCCUAUACAUCCUUUCUAAUUUUUAGCAAAAUAUCAUUAGCAAUAAAAUUCAUAUUUGAGUGUGUCUUGUCUUUAUGUUUGAUAAUUCCAACAGUUCUCACAUAAGUAGUUUGUGGAUGAGUGCAUGUUUUCUUUCUGUAGUCAGCUUACAGGAUGUCUCCAUUGCAAGGUGGUCAGAAAACAACGCUGCGAUUCAUUCCAUGCCCCUCCAGUCUCUCCUGAAGGCCUGAGUUACAAAGGCCAGCAAAAUGGUAGCAAAAUGCAGCUGGAAAGUUGUUGGAGCUGAGCUCAGGCUGACGAACCUUUGCGCUCACCACUCAAUAAAGAUGAUGCGAUAUCUGCACAGUGACCAACUGAGAUGUGCGGAGCAUUGCAGAAGUGGGAGCCGUGCUGCCAUGUCUGUGGAAUUGAAAGGUUCCUUCAUUACGUUGUCAGCACCUAUUAGAAAUCAGAGCUUGGAACAACAGACUGACAUUAAUACGCUGGUUUGGAGGCUUCUGGUUACCACAGGCUAUCUCAUCAGCUUUCAGAGUCUCCGAGGCAUUUCCAAAAGACUCCAGACUGACCAGACAAAUAAAGCCUCCAAUGAUUCUGA